AAGUCGUAACAAGGUUUCCGUAGGUGAACCUGCGGAAGGAUCAUUAACACGUAUCCAACGUUAAACCCCCCGUGAACUUUUAUUGCGAACCACGCCUUUGUUAAAAAGUAGCAAUCCCUGGUAAAUCAUCGCCGAACAGUUUUGAUUCAGGGAUCUCUGCGAAGACAGAGCUAGUAACACUGUCAGACAUGCCAGGCCACUUACCUCGCCUGCAACCGCUCUCGAAUGGCGCAGUCACGAUCGCUGGAGGCCGACACGGCCAGCGACCCCACCGGGCAUAGACCCCCCUAUCACCUUUGCAUGAAAACGGGCCUGCGCUUAAUUGUGCGGCCACCAAACUCGAACAACUGUUAACAAUGGAUAUCUUGGUC
RNAcentral lists this unclassified non-coding RNA (371 nucleotides) under fungal sp. RNAcentral describes it as "partial internal transcribed spacer region". The stretch from base 1 to 46 matches the Rfam family "Eukaryotic small subunit ribosomal RNA", at positions 1786 to 1831 of the family's 1831-position model. The record is from RNAcentral. Lineage: Eukaryota; Fungi.